RNAcentral lists this ribosomal RNA (554 nucleotides) under uncultured bacterium. RNAcentral's name for it is "bacterial SSU rRNA". It matches the Rfam family "Bacterial small subunit ribosomal RNA", at positions 964 to 1533 of the family's 1533-position model. The record is from RNAcentral.
AAGAACCUUACCAAGUCUUGACAUCCCUCUGACCGACUCUUAACCGAGUCUYUCUUUCGGGACAGAGGAGACAGGUGGUGCAUGGUUGUCGUCAGCUCGUGUCGUGAGAUGUUGGGUUAAGUCCCCGCAACGAGCGCAACCCCUAUUCCCAGUAGCCAGCAGUUCGGCUGGGCACUCUGAGGAGACUGCCAGGGAUAACCUGGAGGAAGGCGGGGAUGACGUCAAAUCAUCAUGCCCCUUAUGAUUUGGGCUACACACGUGCUACAAUGGCGUAAACAAAGGGAAGCGAACCUGCGAGGGUAAGCAAAUCCCAAAAAUAACGUCCCAGUUCGGACUGCAGUCUGCAACUCGACUGCACGAAGCUGGAAUCGCUAGUAAUCGCGGAUCACAAUGCCGCGGUGAAUACGUUCCCGGGUCUUGUACACACCGCCCGUCACACCAUGGGAGUCAGUAACGCCCGAAGUCAGUGACCUAACCGCAAGGGAGGAGCUGCCGAAGGCGGGACCGAUGACUGGGGUGAAGUCGUAACAAGGUACCGUAACCUCACAAUCGAA